This 440-nucleotide ribosomal RNA is filed under the name uncultured bacterium. RNAcentral's name for it is "partial 16S ribosomal RNA". It matches the Rfam family "Bacterial small subunit ribosomal RNA", at positions 338 to 795 of the family's 1533-position model. The record is from RNAcentral.
CCUACGGGUGGCAGCAGUGGGGGAUAUUGCUCAAUGGGGGAAACCCUGAUGCAGCGACGCCGCGUGGGUGAAGAAGCGCCUCGGCGCGUAAAGCCCUGUCAGUAGGGAAGAAAAUGACGGUACCUGAAGAAGAAGCCCCGUCUAACUACGUGCCAGAAGCCGCGGUAAUACGUCGGGGGCAAGCGUUAUCCGGAUUUACUGGGUGUAAAGGGGGCGCAGACGGCGAUGCAAGCCAGGAGUGAAAGCCCGGGGCCCAACCCCGGGACGGCUGUUGGAACUGCGUGGCUAGAGUGCAGGAGGGGCAGGCGGAAUUCCUGGUGUAGCGGUGAAAUGCGUAGAGAUCAGGAGGAACACCGGUGGCGAAGGCGGCCUGCUGGACUGCAACUGACGUUGAGGCCCGAAAGCGUGGGGAGCAAACAGGAUUAGAUACCCGGGUAGUC